AUUUGAACGAGAGAUAUAGUCAAGAUCAUGAAGUUAAUUAUAUUUCAACGUUUCACAUUAUAGUACUAGUAUAUUUUCCAAUUACUUAAUGCACAAUGAAAAAGGAUAAGUGGGGCACUCUACUAUAUUUAAUGGAGUAUCAAAAUUCUUUUUUUUUUUUUUGGUCAAGAUCAAAAUUCCAAAUAUAGGAGUAUAGUACAUGUAUAAGUAUAACAGUUAAUUUCCCUGAAGCUUCUGAUGUACUAGUAGUCAGUUUAGUACUGUUUUCACUUUUUGACAAUCUUUUGGUCUUGUUUUGCCUUUUGGUUUUUUUGUUUGAUUUUGUUUUAGAAAUUUGAUACAUCAUGUUUUGCCUUUUAUGGAACAAAACUUUUUCUAUGGCUUCCAAAAUGGUGGAGCUAUCCCCAAUAUUCC
This 414-nucleotide long non-coding RNA is filed under the name Trifolium pratense (red clover). RNAcentral describes it as "long non-coding RNA (TPRA_LNC003023)". The record is from RNAcentral. Lineage: Eukaryota; Viridiplantae; Streptophyta; Magnoliopsida; Fabales; Fabaceae.